This 693-nucleotide ribosomal RNA is filed under the name uncultured Bacteroidales bacterium. RNAcentral's name for it is "bacterial SSU rRNA". It matches the Rfam family "Bacterial small subunit ribosomal RNA", at positions 32 to 715 of the family's 1533-position model. Lineage: Bacteria; Pseudomonadati; Bacteroidota; Bacteroidia; Bacteroidales. The record is from RNAcentral.
AACGCUAGCUACAGGCUUAACACAUGCAAGUCGAGGGGCAGCAUGAAGUUUGCUUGCAAACUUUGAUGGCGACCGGCGCACGGGUGAGUAACACGUAUCCAACCUGCCUUCCACUCGGGAAUAGCCUUUCGAAAGAAAGAUUAAUGUCCGAUGGCACUGGUUUCUCGCAUGAGAGACUUUUUAAAGAAUUUCGGUGGAAGAUGGGGAUGCGUUCCAUUAGGCAGUUGGCGGGGUAACGGCCCACCAAACCGACGAUGGAUAGGGGUUCUGAGAGGAAGGUCCCCCACAUUGGAACUGAGACACGGUCCAAACUCCUACGGGAGGCAGCAGUGAGGAAUAUUGGUCAAUGGACGAGAGUCUGAACCAGCCAAGUAGCGUGAAGGACGACUGCCCUAUGGGUUGUAAACUUCUUUUAUAUGGGAAUAAAGUGAAGCACGUGUGCUUUUUUGUAUGUACCGUAUGAAUAAGGAUCGGCUAACUCCGUGCCAGCAGCCGCGGUAAUACGGAGGAUCCGAGCGUUAUCCGGAUUUAUUGGGUUUAAAGGGAGCGUAGGCGGAAGUUUAAGUCAGUUGUGAAAGUUUGCGGCUCAACCGUAAAAUUGCAGUUGAUACUGGAUUUCUUGAGUGCGGUAUAGGUAGGCGGAAUUCGUGGUGUAGCGGUGAAAUGCUUAGAUAUCACGAAGAACUCCGAUUG